This 252-nucleotide ribosomal RNA is filed under the name uncultured bacterium. RNAcentral describes it as "partial 16S ribosomal RNA". It matches the Rfam family "Bacterial small subunit ribosomal RNA", at positions 524 to 776 of the family's 1533-position model. The record is from RNAcentral.
UACGUAGGGUGCGAGCGUUGUCCGGAAUUAUUGGGCGUAAAGCGCGCGCAGGCGGUCGCUUAAGUCUGGUGUUUAAGCCCGAGGCUCAACCUCGGUUCGCAUCGGAAACUGGGCGGCUGGAGUGUAGGAGAGGAAAGUGGAAUUCCACGUGUAGCGGUGAAAUGCGUAGAGAUGUGGAGGAACACCAGUGGCGAAGGCGACUUUCUGGCCUAUAACUGACGCUGAGGCGCGAAAGCGUGGGGAGCAAACAGG